UGGGGAAUAUUGCGCAAUGGGCGGAAGCCUGACGCAGCAACGCCGCGUGCGGGAUGACGGCCUUCGGGUUGUAAACCGCUUUCAGCAGGGACGAAGCUUUUGUGACGGUACCUGCAGAAGAAGCACCGGCCAACUACGUGCCAGCAGCCGCGGUGAUACGUAGGGUGCGAGCGUUGUCCGGAAUUAUUGGGCGUAAAGAGCUUGUAGGCGGUUUGUCGCGUCGAAAGUGAAAACUCAGGCCUUAAUCCUGAGCUUGCUUUCGAUACGGGCUGACUAGAGGAAGGUAGGGGAGAGUGGAAUUCCUGGUGGAGCGGUGGAAUGCGCAGAUAUCAGGAGGAACACCAGUGGCGAAGGCGGCUCUCUGGACCCUUCCUGACGCUGAGAAGCGAAAGCGUGGGGAGCAAACA
This 407-nucleotide ribosomal RNA is filed under the name uncultured bacterium. RNAcentral describes it as "bacterial SSU rRNA". It matches the Rfam family "Bacterial small subunit ribosomal RNA", at positions 355 to 774 of the family's 1533-position model. The record is from RNAcentral.